ACGCCCGGCUCCUUCUAACAGGCAAGAUGUUCGUCGUGGCACACGGCGGCGCGGUUGCUCUUUCCCUCCUAACGAGAGAUUGAUUCUUGGCUUGCAGACUGCGUUGGCUGAGGUGCUUCAUAUCGACGACAACCCGUUCGCCACCAGUAGAGCGGAGGAGGCGUCACUGUUCUUGCUGAACUUGACCGUGCUGAUGGCGAUGUCCAGUUCCUCCAUCCUGAUACUCCCAGCAGCGCGCAUGGGAGAAGGUCUGAGCUAGCAGGAUUCUUGUGGUCGUACCAGCGAUGGGGUCAGAACCGUUAGCAGCGGCCGGCGGUGGUACCUCAUUAAAUUGGUCUGUUCUGCAGGACCACGGGGAAGAUCAGAUUCUUGGCGUUCAGGUUGAGGAUGUCCUCCUUUCCCAAAAAAAUAGUUUGUGUUUAUACCUGACAACUCAAACAUUUUCACAUCUUAUUGUUCACGCACUAGGUGAAUGCUGAUGGAGCAGGUUUUUGUUGGCCUUGCCACGUUUUUCUUCUCUGUUUAAUUGUGUUGCAAUUUUUCACCCUUGAAGAAGUGAAAGGGAACUUCACGCUGGCUACAAAUUAACCCCACAGGCCGAGGACAUGUAAAUAUAAAGGCAAGAUGAUUAUGUGAUGUCUUUAUUCUGAUGCAGAAAUCCUUUAGUGCUAUGGCUGUAGGUUGGGGAUAGUAAAUUAUGGUAAAAAGAUAUUUGUAAAAAUCCUAGGUGUUUUUUUCUGCAUGUCUGGAUGGCAUCGUCGUGACAAAACGCUUCACUCUGCCUACACUACAAUUCCCAGGGUCUACCAUUGAUUCAUUUCGCGAGCUGCUAAAUUAUGGGGCAGGGCAGCUGGUGGUACUUCUGAUGGUCCUGUCGUUAUGACUUAUGAUUCAUACUUUCUAUUUGUUGGCUUUGUAGGUACGUGUUGUUUUACUGUGUUCAAGGAUGUUGUGAUUCAAUGGAGGCCUAGAUUGAUCUGUCGCACGUUGCAGUUCUUGAAGUGUCACUACAUGUUGUACAUGAACUGUUGUUUUUUUCAUGGAUUUUAUAUGCUUUACUAGAUGCGCAUAUGUUGUUAUAUAUCUUACAGGCCAGCUGAUAGAUGAUCUUGCUGAUGUCUUCUUGCCCUUCGUCACUGCUACACGUUCUGCAUCUUUCGACUGUGCACAUGCAUGGCGUGGUUUUGAGCGACUCCAUGCCUUCGUCAGGUUCUUUUGCCUGGUCUUCAUGGAUGGCCUUCUACAAAUGCCUAUUUCUAGCAUUCUCUUGGUCUGAAGGCAGGUUCCAGGCAGAUCCGUCAUCAGGGAACCUAAGAGAGUAGCAAUGCAAACAGCCUUGGUCAAAAAAUUUCUCACCUCGAGGGUCUCGACCAAAUGUUGUUGUGCGUGUCACACGGAUCUGGGAAAACAAGGAUCAAGCACAAAAUGGGUAUGUGUUGGGAUUCAUUGUCAUUGACCAACUGGAGCUUCUUGGGCAUUCAAACACUUCGAUACUUGAUCCAGCUCACCUACAAAUGAAGUCCAUGCAGUUAGUUUGAUGUACUCAUUUAAUUACCUAUCAAUGUUUACUCCGCUUUUUCUGCAAUGCACCCAACCAGCUUUACCUUUUAGUGUACUGCAUGUUCAUUUGCUAAGUGAAUAUUGAGAAUCUUGACAUGUUGGUAUAGCAAUAUACCUGUUCCAAAAAUAUCUGAUAUGAAUGACAGGUACAAUGCAUAAACCCUUAGAGCCAAUACAGUAACAUACAUGUUAUUUACUAAACAUGUGUGUGCAAAUUUGUUGCAGCCUCGGAAACAAAAUACCUGACCCAAUAGAGACAUGCUCUAUGCUCUGGCUAAACAACUAUUUUGAUCCAAACUAUCUGUUAAUUCAAAGGAUAUCAAGCCUAACGAGGAUAACAAAGAAAUAAUAGGUCAAUUCAUGUUUUUUGGAGCAAUAACCUAUCGUCUCUGUAUAAUUACUUUUCUUCUAUAUUCCCAGUUCUUCUCCAACAGCCAAUCCACUGAAGACAAACUUCGGUUGAUCAAGCGAACCAGUAAUAAAAUUGAGCAUUGCUUCCCAUGAUACUACAAAGCUUCUGCUCCAAAUUACAGCAUACAGUACUUCACUAGACGUCAGAGAGAAACUUUUAUUCUAGACUAGCACAAAUGGCCAUGCAGAGUGAAAGAAAAAAAAGUUGAUUCAAAACCAUCAGCAUAACCCAAAUUUUGCCCAAAGUCGAUCGACCCGUAACCCUAGCCUCAGUUCAUCCUUAUAUCCUAUAAUCUUUGAUUAUUUUGAUCUACUCUUUUAUGCUUCAUUGUUAUUUUUUUU
This is a long non-coding RNA of Lolium rigidum, 2313 nucleotides long. RefSeq lists it as uncharacterized. The transcript has 6 exons. NCBI's taxonomy places the organism in Eukaryota, Viridiplantae, Streptophyta, Magnoliopsida, Poales, Poaceae. The record is from RefSeq and is a predicted model, not a curated record.